Podarcis lilfordi (Lilford's wall lizard) is the source of this 71-nucleotide non-coding RNA. The record is from the annotation of a GenBank genome assembly. NCBI's taxonomy places the organism in Eukaryota, Metazoa, Chordata, Lepidosauria, Squamata, Lacertidae.
GCACUUAGCUCAGUGGGUAGAGCAUCCACUUUGCUUGCAGAAGGUCCCAGCUUCAAUCCCUGGCUUCUCCA